CUGGGGGUUUUGCUGUAGUCAUGCACCCUCUAGGAAGGACGCCAUGCUGGAUUUCUCCACUUUCAUUGCAGUAAAUCUGGACAUGACAUUGCUGUAACAAAGCAGGCAGCUGGGUCUGCAUGGCUGUCACCCCCUCACAAGCCAAGGUCAUUUGAAAAGUCUCCUGUGACAGAUGGGCAAAAGCAUUUCUUCCUGCUUCAAAGGCACAGGAUGCUGCUUUGGAGCCAGUUUUUCUUCUGCAGGUCUUCUUGUCAGUGAGCAGGAAGGAAAAUCUGCAAACAAAGGCAACUUCAGUGAUCUUGGAACAUGAAGAAUAAUGUCCUUCAUUGCUGCCAUGCAGGGCUCAGUGCAAAGAGCUGAACGGCACUGAUUCCUACAGUCAAGGACGUAUGGCCCUCUUGUUCCUUUGCAAGAUAAGCCAUUCCCAACUGGAUAUUAACUCUUCCUGGAAAUGCAGCGUCAAAAACAAUGGCAAUACACUAUCAAGAUCCAGCACUUCCCUUAAGAAACUGUGAAGCACCAAGGAGAGCUUUGUUGCAGAAGAAACAACGCAGACAUAUAAUGCAACAAGACAUGAACAUUGAUGGGAACAGCCCGUGGCUUUGAUGUUAGUUGCAGAUGCACAGAGAUAGUGCUGAGGCCACCUCAGAGGGUCCUGCCAUUUCUGCUCAUUCGCUGCCAGUGGUACGUCCAAGACACAAGGAGCUGUAAAGAGCACAGGAAUAAAGAGCAGGAAUGGAUGCCAAGAGGAAGGAAAGUAGGCGGCACAGAAGAUGGGAAACAAAGCAAAAAACGUCUGGGCAACACGUGAGCUUGGCACAGCUGUUUGUCUUUGCUGUCUGGCACUUUCAGCAAGAAGUAAACUGUAUAAUAAAGUAAAUUUUGUUGAGACA
This 893-nucleotide long non-coding RNA is filed under the name Gallus gallus (chicken). Its description in RNAcentral is "lncRNA (ENSGALG00010019851.1)". The record is from RNAcentral. Lineage: Eukaryota; Metazoa; Chordata; Aves; Galliformes; Phasianidae.